RNAcentral lists this ribosomal RNA (113 nucleotides) under Cordylochernes scorpioides. Lineage: Eukaryota; Metazoa; Arthropoda; Arachnida; Pseudoscorpiones; Chernetidae. The record is from RNAcentral.
GAGACCAUACCAUAUUGAAAACAGGUUCUCUUCCCAUCACCGAAGUUAAACAAUAUCAGGCCAGGUCAGUACUUGGAAUGGUGACCACUUGGGAACACCGGGUGUUGUAGGCU